This 1365-nucleotide ribosomal RNA is filed under the name Trigonopterus sp. AH-2016. RNAcentral's name for it is "16S ribosomal RNA". The stretch from base 868 to 1229 matches the Rfam family "Bacterial large subunit ribosomal RNA", at positions 2075 to 2645 of the family's 2925-position model. Lineage: Eukaryota; Metazoa; Arthropoda; Insecta; Coleoptera; Curculionidae. The record is from RNAcentral.
UGGGAGAAUGGAGUUUUAGAAGAAUUAAAAGAAGUAACUUUAGUUUUAUUAGUUUGUAUGAAAAAAUAUAUAAUAAAUGUAGCACUACAUUGGUAUAAUUAUAGAUCAUUAGUAUCGUGAGAGAAAUUUAGGUAGCUUUUGGAAAGAAGAAUUAAUUUUUCGUACCUUGUGUAUCAGGGUUUAUUAAUUAAAAUUUAUAUGUGAUAAGUUUCUCGAAUUUAAAAGAGUUAUAGAUAUAUUAUUUUCAUUGUUGCAUAAAUGUUUGUAAUAUAUUUAUUGAAGUGAAAUGCUAUUCGAUUUUAAAGAUAUCUAGUUUUUUAAGAAAAAAAUUUAAUUUUUUUUUUAUUUAUUACUAAAUUUUGUGGUUAAUUCGGUGAUAGUAAAAUUUUAUACUUGAGGGGAUGAGCUUUUGGGUAGAUUUAUAUAAUUUUAAGGAGAGAUUUACUAAGUAGAGUUAUAAGUUUUUAUCUUUUUUAGUGUGUUGUUACAAAAUAAGUGUGUUUAUAAAUUUGUAUUAGAAUUUAUGUUUGUUAUUAAAAAAUAAUUUUGAAUAAAAGAGAAUUAGCUAUAAUGAUAAAAUUAGUAUAAUUUAGAGUGAAGUUUUAAUUAGUUGCAAGGUUAGAUAAAGGAACUCGGCAAAGGUAUUUUUCACCUGUUUAUUAAAAACAUGGCCUAUUGAUAAUAAUUUUAGGUCGGGCCUGCCCAAUGAUGUAGAGUUAAAUGGCCGCGGUAGCUUGACCGUGCAAAGGUAGCAUAAUCACUAGUUUUUUAAUUGGAAGCUUGAAUGAAAGGUUUGAUGAAAAAAUUACUGUCUCUGUCUGAAUUUGUUAGAAAUUUAUUUUUGAGUAAAAAGGCUCAAAUGUGUAUAGAAGACGAGAAGACCCUGUAGAGUUUUAUAUUUGCUAUAAUAAGUGAGUAUUUGGUAUUUGUUCUUGUUUGUUAUAGGUAGUAUUUGGUUGGGGCGAUCAAAAAAUUAGGCAAACUUUUUUUUUAUUUAAACAUUUAUUUGUGAAUAUGUGAUCCUUAGGUUAAGAUUACAAGAGAGAAUUACCUCAGGGAUAACAGCGUAAUUUUUUUUUAGAGUUCUUAUCGAAAAAAAAGAUUGCGACCUCGAUGUUGGAUUAAAGAAAAUUAUUGGUGUAGCAGCUAAUAAAUUGGGUCUGUUCGACCCUUAAAAUUUUACAUGAUCUGAGUUUAAACCGGCGUGAGCCAGGUUGGUUUCUAUCUCUAUAAAAAUGUAAUAUUCUAGUACGAAAGGACCGAAUAUUGAAUUUAUAAAUUUAAAAUUAGAAAAUUAUUAAAUUGGUUACUUUGGCAGAAUAGUGCGCUAGAUUUAGAAUCUAUAUAGGUAAGUUAGGAUUACAG